RNAcentral lists this non-coding RNA (21 nucleotides) under Caenorhabditis elegans. The record is from RNAcentral. Lineage: Eukaryota; Metazoa; Nematoda; Chromadorea; Rhabditida; Rhabditidae.
UUUUGCGAAUUUCAAGGAAAA